AUUUUCAUCUGCCUAGCGGUUUGUAUACUACCUCAUUAACCAGUGUUUGAUAUAUUUUCAUUCUAUCAGCUUAUGUCUUACAGAAAUAAAUCCUUCCGAAAGUGAAGCAUUUGAUGCCAUCAAUCGUAUUUCCUCUUCGACUCACAUGUUUGAUAAUCAAACGCAAAAAGCGAAAAUUGAAGUUAUCGACUUGACGGUGGAAGAAGAAGAAGAAAAGAUUGCAGGGCAACAAGAAUCAUUGCGAGAAGAAAAGUUUGAUGCAGCGCCGGGGACUUCUGCCCCUAAGAGACCAAGAAUUGUUUACACACCAUAUGUAAAUAAAAGGCAAAAAAUUUCUGAAACACCUGUGCAAGAAGAAUACGAUACCGAUGAGGAUGAUGAUGAAGACGCAGAAUCAGAUCCAUGGACACCUCUUGCUAGCCCACUAAGUCCUUAUGCCAGUCCAUCAGAACCAAAUCCUUCUGCUAUUAAUUUUAAUUUAUCUGAAGGUUAGUGUUCCAUUUAUUUAAUUGAUUAUGACAAUAUAAUGAGAAUAUAAUAAACAUAAUUACUGUUGAAUGAAAACAAAUGAAUAUUAUUUUAUUGUUAAGUAUUAUUUA
Molecule: non-coding RNA, 599 nt
Organism: Danio rerio (zebrafish)
Lineage: Eukaryota; Metazoa; Chordata; Actinopteri; Cypriniformes; Danionidae
Source: RefSeq, a predicted model, not a curated record